Molecule: ribosomal RNA, 593 nt
Filed under: Xiphinema turdetanense
Lineage: Eukaryota; Metazoa; Nematoda; Enoplea; Dorylaimida; Longidoridae
Description: eukaryotic LSU rRNA
Rfam family: Eukaryotic large subunit ribosomal RNA
Source: RNAcentral
AUCGACGCGUGAAAGCGAGUCCGACGCGAAAAGGAACGAAAGUCCCGUCGGCUCGUAGAAUCGAGUAGCGCUCGUUCGAUGCAUUUCCGAUGGGUAAGCGCCGUGACCGAUGCGAAUUUUCGGCUAGCGAAGCCGUCGGAUUGAGGGCGAGCUCGUUCGCGAGUCUCGUAACCAGUCCGUCGGUCGAAUAGAAAUCGUUAGACCGUAGCAUCGAGAAUGAGAGAGUUCGAACGUCGGCGAUUCGUACGCGCUCGCCUAAUACGACGGAUGUACGUUCGGUCGAUCGUCGCCUGCUCGCAGGUUUCGGUCGUAUCCUGUUCGUAUCGGAAAUCGUUGGCGACGUUUUACGACGUUCGGGUGUCCACGGCGUCCGAGUCGGUCGCCCGUCCGACCCGUCUUGAAACACGGACCAAGGAGUCUAACGUAAGCGCGAGCUAAUGGGCGGAAAACCCAUAAGCGCAAUAAAAGUAAAAGUCGUUUCGGACGGCUUAGGUACGAUCCCGCAGGGCGAAUAAUCCUCGGGCGCAGUACCGUCCCGUCCCGACCGCUCGUCGGUAGGGCGGAGAUAGAGUGCAUACGUUGGGACCCGAAAG